AAGGAUGCCAUUUAAUUGAAACCCCAAAUCUUGUUUCAGAGCUGGACAAAUAUAGGGCAGGAUGGUAUUAAAGCGAAGGAGAGAGCUCGGAAUAUAAAAGAAGCAAUUGAUGCGUGUCUCGUGGUGCUUUAGCUAUACAAAUCCCAAGGAGGGCAACCGGCAGGGAUCAUCUUCAAAGGAACUCUGCUGAAAUAAAUUACGGUUGCAAAAGCGAACACUUAUAAAGCAACAGAUGGAGAUGGAUAAAACAGUAGGAUUCCAGUCAAGAAGAUAUGAGAAUGCAGUUGGAUGAAGCACUGGGCUUGCAGGUCAUGAGUGUGCCUCUGGAAUAUCUGAACUGAAAAUUACAGUGAUACUACAAUGAUUGAAAAGUGAAGCUUCUCUCAAAUCAAGCUCACCUUCUGCUGACUUAUCCAUGAUUUCAGUCCCCCCCUCCACCAUUUUUCUUUUUCUUCUUUGAAUAUAGAAGUUGCUUAUUAUUGGCCAUUUCCAUACCAAUGACUUACAGUAACUUGAUAGGAUCACCCAGCAAUGGUAAUCA
Molecule: long non-coding RNA, 541 nt
Organism: Pantherophis guttatus
Lineage: Eukaryota; Metazoa; Chordata; Lepidosauria; Squamata; Colubridae
Source: RefSeq, a predicted model, not a curated record